This is an RNA transcript of Carica papaya (papaya), 1600 nucleotides long. It is a transcript of the gene named 2-oxoglutarate (2OG) and Fe(II)-dependent oxygenase superfamily protein, with no coding region annotated. Lineage: Eukaryota; Viridiplantae; Streptophyta; Magnoliopsida; Brassicales; Caricaceae. The record is from RefSeq and is a predicted model, not a curated record.
GCGCACUUAGGGACAAAACAGUUGCAACCCAGACCCAAAAUGCGUCCAAGUUAACCUCCUCCUCCCAUCAAAACUCCCAUGGAAUCCAAGCACCCUUCUCUCUUUCUCGCAAGUCUCAACUGAAAGAAAAAGGCCCAGAAAGAGGGAAUAAAAAUGGCUGAUCAACUCAUCGAGACCAACAUUCCACAACAGAAGCACUAUAAUUCCGUUCCUUUCCCUGUGGUUCUCUCGCCAAAAUCAACAAUUCCUUUCUCUCUAUCGCUUUUCAGACAAACGAUUAACACCCAUAAACCCUUCAUCGAUUCCUUGUUACACACGGCAGGAGCGGUGCUCUUUAGAGGUUUCCCUGUCACUACUGCUGAGGACUUCAAUUACGUCGUUGAGGCGUUUGGUUACGAGGAGUUGCCCUACGUCGGAGGUGCCGCUCCUCGUACUAACGUUUUGGGUAGAGUCUUUACGUCCAAUGAGUCCCCUCCUGAACAGAAGAUUCCUUUCCACCAUGAAAUGGCCCAGGUCCCUGAAUUCCCAUCAAAACUAUUUUUCUUUUGUGAGGUAGAGCCAGUAAGUGGAGGAGAAACUCCUAUUGCUCUUAGCCACAUUGUGUAUGAGAGGAUGAAGACGAGGCACCCAGAAUUUGUUGAACAAUUAGAGGAGCAUGGUCUGAUCUACACACGAAUAUUGGGGGAAGACGAUGACCCUUCAUCUCCAAUUGGCCGCGGGUGGAAAUCAACAUUCAUGACAAAGGACAAGAGUGUGGCUGAGGAAAGGGCUAACAAGCUGGGGAUGAAGUUGGAGUGGAUGGAAGAGGGAGUGAAAACUGUAAUGGGUCCAAUCCCAGCUAUUAAGUAUGACAAGUCAAGACAACGUAAAAUUUGGUUCAAUAGCAUGGUAGCUGCUUAUACAGGCUGGGAAGAUGCUCGGAAUGAUCCUGUGAAGGCAGUCACUUUCGGGGAUGGGAGACCACUCCCAGGUGAUAUCAUCUAUGAUUGUUUAAGAAUCCUUGAAGAGGAAUGUGUUGCCAUUCCGUGGCAGAAAGGUGACGUUCUACUUGUAGAUAACUGGGCAGUCCUCCACUCUCGAAGGCCUUUCAAACCUCCUCGCCGUAUUCUAGCCUCACUUUGCAAAUAGCUUUUGAUCAGACCUCGCAUUGUCAACUGCUUCUCCUCUGUGGUUAAAUGCAUUAUACUUGUAUGUGGUGGGAUUGCAGUUUUUUCGUUGGUGAGAUGAUGAAAUCGCCUCUAAAUACUAUUGGAACCUGCUUUUCAAAAUAAAAAAAAAGAUAAUUGUAUAAGCAGACAACUUAGUAAUCAUGUUUGUGGGUGGAUUCUGAAUUGGUAGAUGUUGUAUGAUGAUACAAAAGAGAUUCGAGGAAGGCAACAAAAAAUAGGGCAAGAAGUCAAGUUGACCAAGAAGCUUAUUGAAGAUUGAUUUAUUGAGAAGAUCUUAGGGACUAGACUUGUUUAGUAGUUAUUGAACCAAUAUGCUUUGCGUCGACUGUAAGUGUACUCUUAAUGGUCUGUGGGUUACGUUUAGCUUCAUUUGCAAUGUAUUAUGCUGUGUAAUAUAUGGCCGAAGGAUGCUACAAUUGUUAGUUUGACAA